UGGCAGAUAGUUCAGCGGUAGAACACGGUUUCCGCCAGACACCGAAAUAGGUACGUUCGACUCGUACCCUGCCAACCA
Molecule: transfer RNA, 78 nt
Filed under: Herminiimonas sp.
Lineage: Bacteria; Pseudomonadati; Pseudomonadota; Betaproteobacteria; Burkholderiales; Oxalobacteraceae
Description: tRNA-OTHER
Source: RNAcentral